RNAcentral lists this ribosomal RNA (490 nucleotides) under Staphylococcus sp. RNAcentral's name for it is "bacterial SSU rRNA". It matches the Rfam family "Bacterial small subunit ribosomal RNA", at positions 856 to 1354 of the family's 1533-position model. The record is from RNAcentral. Lineage: Bacteria; Bacillati; Bacillota; Bacilli; Caryophanales; Staphylococcaceae.
CGCAUUAAGCACUCCGCCUGGGGAGUACGACCGCAAGGUUGAAACUCAAAGGAAUUGACGGGGACCGCACAAGCGGUGGAGCAUGUGGUUUAAUUCGAAGCAACGCGAAGAACCUUACCAAAUCUUGACAUCCUCUGACCCCUCUAGAGAUAGAGUUUUCCCCUUCGGGGGACAGAGUGACAGGUGGUGCAUGGUUGUCGUCAGCUCGUGUCGUGAGAUGUUGGGUUAAGUCCCGCAACGAGCGCAACCCUUAAGCUUAGUUGCCAUCAUUAAGUUGGGCACUCUAAGUUGACUGCCGGUGACAAACCGGAGGAAGGUGGGGAUGACGUCAAAUCAUCAUGCCCCUUAUGAUUUGGGCUACACACGUGCUACAAUGGACAAUACAAAGGGAGCGAAACCGCGAGGUCAAGCAAAUCCCAUAAAGUUGCUCAGUUCGGAUGUAGUCUGCACUCGCUAUAUGAAGCUGAUCGCUAGUAUCGUAGUGUGAUAU